Molecule: long non-coding RNA, 511 nt
Organism: Numida meleagris (helmeted guineafowl)
Lineage: Eukaryota; Metazoa; Chordata; Aves; Galliformes; Numididae
Source: Ensembl
AAAUGACCUAAGAAUCAAUUGCCUAGCAGUGUUCCAUCUCUUCAACUUCUAUGGUGAUCUCUUUUUGAAUGAAGAGCAGCCUGGAAAAAGGACUACAACUCACAGGAUAUUAAAAAGGCACACACACAAGAAGCAGAAUCCAAUUUUAACAAGUUUGCUUUCAGCUCAUAAUAAAAACAAGAAUUACAGCAGAAACACUAUUGAUUUCCUUAUACUCCAUUGUGUCUUCAUCAAGAAUGAAGAGAUUUAUGAACAGCAAUCAGGAGAUAUUCUGCUUCUGCAGUGGAUCUCUAUGGCACAGGAGAAAAGUCACUUUUAUUUAUGUAGCAGUCCUUGCAUGGAAAAAAAAAGAAGUGGUGCUAAGAACUCCAGUAGACAGUGCUUACUGAGAAAGGUGGGGACAUUAGUGGAUUCACAUCUGACUGGAGGGUGGGACAUGUUGGAAGACUGUCAUCAGAGGUCCGGAAUCUCCUUGCUACUUCCAGUUGACAGCUCAUCUGUUAUCAUAUAA